UACCAGCUCUCCGAGUGGUAAGGAUGAUUAUUGGGCUUAAAGCGUCCGUAGCCGGCUUAGCAAGUUUCCUGUUAAACUCUGCGACUUAAUCGUUGAAUCGCGGGAAAUACUACUAGGCUAGGAGGCGGGAGAGGUCAACGGUACUUCUGGGGUAGGGGUGAAAUCCUAUAAUCCCGGGAGGACCACCAGUGGCGAAGGCUGUCGACUAAAACGCGCUCGACGGUGAGGGACGAAAGCUGGGGGAGCGAACCGGAUUAGAUACCCGGGUAGUCCCAGCUGUAAACGAUGCGGGCUAGGUGUUGGGGUGGCUACGUGCCACUUCAGUGCCGCAGGGAAGCCAUUAAGCCCGCCGCCUGGGGAGUACGGCCGCAAGGCUGAAACUUAAGGAAUUGGCGGGGAGCACCACAAGGCGUGAAGCUUGCGGUUC
Molecule: ribosomal RNA, 427 nt
Filed under: uncultured archaeon
Lineage: Archaea
Description: bacterial SSU rRNA
Rfam family: Archaeal small subunit ribosomal RNA
Source: RNAcentral